UGGGGAGGUGUGGAGUCAGCAU
RNAcentral lists this microRNA (22 nucleotides) under Homo sapiens (human). RNAcentral's name for it is "hsa-miR-6825-5p". The record is from miRBase by way of RNAcentral. Lineage: Eukaryota; Metazoa; Chordata; Mammalia; Primates; Hominidae.